Molecule: long non-coding RNA, 345 nt
Organism: Canis lupus familiaris (dog)
Lineage: Eukaryota; Metazoa; Chordata; Mammalia; Carnivora; Canidae
Exons: 2
Source: RefSeq, a predicted model, not a curated record
GAAACAACAUUUGAGACUGAGGUUAAGCGAUUGAAUGUGAUAUCUGAUGCCACACUGGGAGAGGCCGGGAAAACUGGAACAAAUCUUCAAAGCUCAGUCCUUCAGGUUGGAAGGAAUGUCUUUAUUUGGAGGCAUGUCGGCUCAUUUUUCUCACUUCAGAUCAUCAUUAUGACUUCUUGAGGCCUGAUCUAAUUUUGAAGUAACCAGGAACUUGUCCAUCAUAGAGCAGCAAAUCCUUCAACUUUGGAGCACAAAAGAUCACUGAUAUGGUCUGCAUAAAAUCAUCUGCCUCUAGUUUGACAGCCAUGAGCAGAGCCCUGGGGGCCAAAAAAAAAAAAAAAAAAA